GUCUCUACAGCACAAUGAUUAGUGCUUUGGACUUCUAAUCUAAAGAUCGUGGGUUCGAAUUCCCACUGGGAUG
Trichonephila clavipes is the source of this 73-nucleotide non-coding RNA. The record is from the annotation of a GenBank genome assembly. Lineage: Eukaryota; Metazoa; Arthropoda; Arachnida; Araneae; Nephilidae.